GCGCGUGGCGAACGGGUGCGUAACACGUGGAUAACCUUCCUUCAGGUGGGGAAUAACCCAGUGAAAAUUGGGCUAAUACCGCAUAACAUGACGACGCCACAUGGUGUUGUCUUCAAAGGCGCAAGUCGCCAGAAGAGGGAUCCGCGGCCGAUUAGCUUGUUGGCGAGGUAAUGGCUCACCAAGGCAUUGAUCGGUAGCCGGACUGAGAGGUUGACCGGCCACACUGGAACUGAGACACGGUCCAGACUCCUACGGGAGGCAGCAGUGGGGAAUCUUGCACAAUGGACGAAAGUCUGAUGCAGCAACGCCGCGUGGGGGAUGAAGCUUCUCGGAGUGUAAACCCCUUUCGACCCGGAAGAAAGCCCGCAAGGGUUUGACGGUACGGGUAUAAGAAGCCCCGGCUAACUACGUGCCAGCAGCCGCGGUAAUACGUAGGGGGCCAGCGUUGCUCGGAAUUACUGGGCGUAAAGGGUCCGUAGGCGGUGUGGCAAGUCGGGAGUGAAAUCUCUGGGCUUAACCCAGAGGCUGCUUCCGAAACUGCCAUGCUAGAGUGUGAGAGAGGCGAGUGGAAUUA
This 574-nucleotide ribosomal RNA is filed under the name uncultured bacterium. RNAcentral's name for it is "bacterial SSU rRNA". It matches the Rfam family "Bacterial small subunit ribosomal RNA", at positions 91 to 669 of the family's 1533-position model. The record is from RNAcentral.